Non-coding RNA from Paramuricea clavata, 69 nucleotides. The record is from the annotation of a GenBank genome assembly. NCBI's taxonomy places the organism in Eukaryota, Metazoa, Cnidaria, Anthozoa, Malacalcyonacea, Plexauridae.
AUCAAAUGGUUCUGUGGUUAGCACUUUGGACUCUGAAUCCAAGGAAUCGAGUUCAAGUCUCGGCAGAUC